CCUACGGGUGGCAGCAGUGGGGAAUCUUUGGCAAUGGGCGCAAGCCUGACCCAGCAACGCCGCGUGAAGGAAUAAGGCUCUCGGGUUGUAAACUUCUUUUCUGAGGGGCGAAGAAAGUGACGGUACCACAGGAAUAAGCCACGGCUAACGACGUGCCAGCAGCCGCGGCAAUACAUAGGUGGCAAGCGUUAUUCGGAAGUAUUGGGGGGAAGGGGCGUGUAGGCGGGAAAGCGAGUCAGAUGUGAAAACUCAGGGCUCAACCCUCAGCCUGCAUUUGAAACUGUUUUUCUUGAGUGCUGGAGAGGCAAUCGGAAUUCUGGGUGUAGCGGUGAAAUGCGUAGAUAUACGGAGGAACACCAGUGGCGAAGGCGGAUUGCUGGACAGUAACUGACGCUGAGGCGCGAAAGCGUGGGGAGCAAACAGGAUUAGAUACCCCUGUAGUC
Molecule: ribosomal RNA, 443 nt
Filed under: uncultured bacterium
Lineage: Bacteria
Description: partial 16S ribosomal RNA
Rfam family: Bacterial small subunit ribosomal RNA
Source: RNAcentral